CCAAAUCACGUGCCAGCAGUCGCGGUAAUACGUGGAAGACUAGUGUUAUUCAUCUUUAAUUGGUUUAAAGGGUACUUAGACGGUUAAUUAAGCCCGAUAGGGUACUAAUUGACUAGAGUUUUAUAUGAGAAGGGGAGUACUAAAGAGUGUAGAGAUGAAAUUCAGUCAUACCUGACUUGGAACAGGCAACGGCGAAGGCAACCUUUUAUGUAAAAACUGACGUUGAAGGACGAAGGCUUAGGACACCAACAGGAUUAGAUACCCCAGCAGUCUAAGCAGACAAUGAUGAAUGUCAUAGAUUAGAAUUAUAAUUUUGUCUAUAAAUGAAAGUGUAAGCAUUCCACCUCAAGAGUAAUGCGGCAACGCAUAAACUGAAAUCAUUAGACCGUUUCUGAAACCAGUAGUGAAGUAUGUUAUUUAAUUUGAUAACCCUCACAACACCUUACCACAACUUGAAUAGUAUGUUUUUACUUUUCGGAUUAUCUGGGAAUAGAUUUAUACUACAGGCGUUGCACGGCUGUUUUCAGUUAAUGUCGUGAGAUUUUGGUUAUUUCCCAUUAAUUAACGUAACCCUUACUUUAUUUAUCGUAAUAAAGUAGUUCACCGCUAUAUGGAUAAGAUAAUAGGGAAUAAGACAGUCAAUAUGGCCCUUAA
Molecule: ribosomal RNA, 654 nt
Filed under: Trapelia sp.
Lineage: Eukaryota; Fungi; Ascomycota; Lecanoromycetes; Trapeliales; Trapeliaceae
Description: SSU rRNA
Rfam family: Bacterial small subunit ribosomal RNA
Source: RNAcentral